UGGGAAUUUGGACAAUGGGCGAAAGCCUGAUCCAGCAAUGCCGCGUGUGUGAAGAAGGCCUUCGGGUUGUAAAGCACUUUUGUCCGGAAAGAAAUCCUUGGCUCUAAUACAGUCGGGGGAUGACGGUACCGGAAGAAUAAGCACCGGCUAACUACGUGCCAGCAGCCGCGGUAAUACGUAGGGUGCAAGCGUUAAUCGGAAUUACUGGGCGUAAAGCGUGCGCAGGCGGUUUGCUAAGACCGAUGUGAAAUCCCCGGGCUCAACCUGGGAACUGCAUUGGUGACUGGCAGGCUAGAGUAUGGCAGAGGGGGGUAGAAUUCCACGUGUAGCAGUGAAAUGCGUAGAGAUGUGGAGGAAUACCGAUGGCGAAGGCAGCCCCCUGGGCAAUACUGACGCUCAUGCACGAAAGCGUGGGGAAGCAAACAGGAUUAGAUACCCUGGUAGUCCACGCCCUAAACGAUGUCAACUAGUUGUUGGGGAUUCAUUUCCUUAGUAACGUAGCUAACGCGUGAAGUUGACCGCCUGGGGAGUACGGUCGCAAGAUUAAAACUCAAAUGAAUUGACGGGGUCAUAGCUGUUUCCU
This 583-nucleotide ribosomal RNA is filed under the name uncultured bacterium. RNAcentral's name for it is "partial 16S ribosomal RNA". It matches the Rfam family "Bacterial small subunit ribosomal RNA", at positions 357 to 1375 of the family's 1533-position model. The record is from RNAcentral.